CAUCGUCAGCGUAUUCAAUAUUAAUGCAGGCUAUGAUGUGAUAAUAGAAUCCUUGUGGUCACUAGAUUGUACUUGCUUGUAUUAUUUUUGUUGAGUAUGUCGGCGUGCACUUCUCCUCUAGUAGAACGUCGYAACCCGUUGGAUGUUUAUCUAUGGCUUGAAUGGUAGCCUUUGAUACUUAUUGUAUUGGAGACCUUUGAUGUCCUGAUAAACUGUCUGACGGUAUUCAUAUGGUAUUGAGCCGCAAUUAUAUUGCGUUAGACUUGCCGCAAGUAAGACUUUAUUUUAGUAGUGCGGAUCUAAUGCCGUCGCUGAUCAAAGUCUGCUGUUAGCUGUGUAAUGUCUUUAACUGGCUUAUUUACCGGUUAGCGAUGCUACUGCUUUGGGUACUUACAGGACCCGUCUUGAAACACGGACCAAGGAGUCUAACAUGUACGCGAGUCAUUGGGAUAUAUUUAUAUAACUCAAACCUAAAGGCGUAAUGAAAGUAUAGAUUGUCUUAAAACAAUUGAGGGAA
RNAcentral lists this ribosomal RNA (517 nucleotides) under Rhygoplitis sp. 1 JCB-2006. RNAcentral describes it as "eukaryotic LSU rRNA". Lineage: Eukaryota; Metazoa; Arthropoda; Insecta; Hymenoptera; Braconidae. The record is from RNAcentral.